AGACUACAGUAGACUACAGUACAGUAGACUACAGCAGAGUCCUUGGACCAGACCAGGAGUACAGUACAGUAGACUACAGCAGAGUCCUUGGACCAGACCAGGAGUAGACUACAGUAGACUACAGUACAGUAGACUACAGCAGAGUCCUUGGACCAGACCAGGAGUAGAGUACAGUAGACUACAGUACAGUAGACUACAGUAGAGUCCUUGGACCAGACCAGGAGUAGACUACAGUAGACUACAGUACAGUAGACUACAGUAGAGUCCUUGGACCAGACCAUGAGUAGACUACAGUAGACUACAGUACAGUAGACUACAGUAGAGUCCAGUAUACUACAGUAGAGUACGAUAGACUACAGUACAGUAGACUACAGUAGACUACAGUACAGUAGACUACAGUAGAGUCCAGUAUACUACAGUAGAGUACGAUAGACUACAGUACAGUAGACUACAGUAGACUGCAGUACAGUAGACUACAGUAGAGUACGAUAGACUACAGUACAGUAGACUACAGUAGACUACAGUAGAGUCCAGUAUACUACAGUAGAGUAUGAUAGACUACAGUACAGUAGACUGCAGUACAGUAGACUACAGUACAGUAGACUACAAUAGACUACAGUACAGUAGACUACAGUAGACUGCAGUAGAGUCCAGUAUACUACAGUAGAGUACGAUACACUACAGUACAGUAGACUACAGUAGACGACAGUACAGUAGACUACAUUAGACUACAGUAAACUACAGUAGAGUACAGUUAGGUACAGUAAUGACCUGUGAAAAAUAGGCAAAGUAAUGGUGAACUUAAUUGCUUUUAUUUGGCCCUGUAGCUGAGGUCUAUCUACCUGUAGUUGAGGUGUGUCUACCUGUAGCUGAGGUCAAUCUACCUGUAGAUGAGGUCUAUCUACCUGUAGCUGAGGUGUGUCUACCUGUAGCUGAGGUCUAUCUACCUGUAGAUGAGGUGUGUCUACCUGUAGAUGUAGUCUAUCUACCUAUAGAUGAGGUGUAUCUACCUGUAGCUGAGGUCAAUCUACCUGUAGCUGAGGUCUAUCUACCUGUAGAUGAGGUGUAUCUACCUGUAGCUAAGGUGUAUCUACCUGUAGAUGAGGUGUGUCUACCUGUAGCUGAGGUCAAUCUACCUGUAGCUGAGGUGUAUCUACCUGUAGCUGAGGUGUAUCCAGGUUAGAUCAGACUGAAGCAGGCUAACUGGACCACACCAGACUGCACAUCUCUGCUGGAGGAAAGCCUCUCUGCUGAGAGUGGUGGACAUAUGAAUGUGAAUACUGGAGGCAUCAUUAAAAAACGCCACCCUAUUCCCUAUAUAGUGCACUACUUUUGACCAGAGCCCUAUGGAACCCUAUUCCCUAUAUAGUGCACUACUUUUGACCAGAGCCCUAUGGAACCCUAUUCCCUAUAUAGUGCACUACUUUUGACCAGAGCCCUAUGGAACCCUAUUCCCUAUAUAGUGCACUACUUUUGACCAGAGCCUUAUGGAACCCUAUUCCCUAUAUAGUGCACUACUUUUGACCAGAGCCAUAUUCCCUAAGGGCCCUGGUCAAAUGUAGGCCACUGUAAACGAAUAGGUUGGCGUUUAGGACGCAGGCCCUGUCUGCCUGUCAGGCUCCUGUAAUGAUGGGCUGUCGAUAAUGGGAAUAACAGUGGAUCUGCGUGUUAGCCCUGAUCUGACCUCUGACCCUGAUCUCUUUAACUAAAUUCAAACGCUUUCUGCUUUUGGCAACAGAAGAGGAGAGCUUAGUUUUGGUGUCCUCUUGGCCCUUCUGGGUUAGAUCACUCUCCACUGUCCUCUCCUCCUGUCCUUGAUACUGUCCCUCUGCCCUGUUCUCUCCUCCUGUCCUCUCCUCCUGUCCUUGAUACUGUCCCUCUGCCCUGUUCUCUCCUCCUGUCCUCUCCUCCUGUCCUUGAUACUGUCCCUCUGCCCUGUUCUCUCCUCCUGUCCUCUCCUCCUGUCCUUGAUACUGUCCCUCUGCCCUGUUCUCUCCUCCUGUCCUCUCCUCCUGUCCUUGAUACUGUCCCUCUGCCCUGUUCUCUCCUCCUGUCCUGUCCUCUCGUCCUGAGCAGAGUUAAAUGUCUCUACUCUCUUUAGCUUUGUAGUUUUACAGAUCAGCCAUGUAUCCAUCUGGGAUCAAACCAAAAAAAGAGAGAUAAUAAAGCGACAUGUUAUUUACACCUGGCAUGAGAUGACACUGAGUUGUGCUUCCCUUGGAAGUGCUGUGUCCUCAGAGAACGGGAGAAGGACCCGGUGUGAAUUAUUUCAUAGAACUAGAAUGAGAAAUAGAAACAAUUCCUUAUAAUUCUAUGGGUUCUGUGGAUUUCAGGUCCAGGCCAGGUGCUGUGUGUCUGUCUGUCUGUCGGUCUGUCUGGUGCUGCCGUGGUGUAGCCUUAACAUUCCAAGGAGGGUCAUGUGACCUCCUGAGUAGCAUUAUGGGUAAUUAUUAGCACUGUGUCUGUGUCAUCCAACCUCAGCCGAAGUGAUGUCUCGUAAUCUCCAGGGGAAAAGUAAAAACAAAACAAACAUGAUUUAGUUUAAGUUUAUUACAACGCAAGGCAAGAGAUGGUGUUACUUAACAGUUACUGUACCUUAUGUAAAACAACUGCAAACCCUUCCAAAAAAAAAAAGAAAAAGAUUUUGAAGUUUACAGUCUUAACAGAAACCAACUAUUCAGGUCUCUAUAUAUCUUAAAGGCUUUUUUGGAAGAAGAAGAAGAAAAGAAACAACUUAUUUUUGGUAAUUUGUUAUUUUUUAUGAAAGAGAAAAACGAAUCUGAAACCUCACUGGGUUUUUGUACCACUAUAAUCAUACAAGAAAUCAUGAGAGAGCUAAACAUCAUAUUUACUCUGUAUCCACUUCAGUUGUUAUUACGUGCCUUCUAAUCUAAUGUUUUAGACAGCGUCUGAAAUGGCUCCCUAGCCCCUAUGUGGUACACCCUUACUACUUUACAGUAGUGCACUAUUAGAGAAUAAGGGUGCAAUUUCAGACACAGACAAUAUCUUAUGUACUAUCUAGUGGGAUUGGUGAGAGGGUUGAUUUAAUUCACUUGUUUGUUUUUUUCAUGUAGAGAAAUGUAGACGUGUUUCUUCAUGAGGGGGACGGGUCCAUUGUAUUAUAUGGUUUCUGAUGUGGAAGUUAAUGCUUGGUUCUUUGAUUGCACUUCUUAAGAGAAAACUGAAAUAACACAGUGUGUACUGUGGGCCUCUCCAUCCCUCUGUGUGUGUGUGUGUGUGUACUGUGGGCCUCUCCAUCCCUCUGUGUGUGUGUGUAGUGUGUGUGUGUAUGUGUGUAGUGUGUGUAUGUGUGUGUGUGUGUGUGUAGUGUGUGUGUGUGUGUAUGUGUGUAGUGUGUUGGUGUGUGUGUAGUGUAGUGGUGUGUGUGUAGUGUAGUGGUUGUGUAUGUGUGGUGUGUGUGUAGUGUGUUUGUGUAGUGUGUGUGUGUAGUGUGUGUGUGUAGUGUGUGUGUGUGUGUGUGUGUGUAGUGUGUGUGUGUGUGUGUGUGUGUGUGUGUAUGUGUGUAGUGUGUGUGUGUGUGUGUGUAGUGUGUGUAGUGUGUGUGUGUAAAAUGUUUGACUCCGUAUUCAUUCUUCUUCACUUAUUUGUGACUGAUGAUCUGUUGUUACUGGCGUCACAUCCCCAUCUUCUAGACCGUUCUACAGCACCAUUAACAGAACUAAUGCCUUUUGAUGCAGAAUGUAGCUCAGGUCUAAAACAUGUAACACAAUCUAAGUCAAUACUGACUGAGUUCUGUUUAGCAAAUCUGAUGAGGACAAUAAAAAUAAUUAAUUUUUAUUUCUAAAGUAACCUACCCAAACCCUGUGUAUAAAUGUUAUUCCUCUGAUGUUAAGGCCCACAACACCCACUUAGGUCAUUUCAGGUUUUCCUUCAUUUAGCUAUUUUUGAGUGAAGAUGUAAGAGAACCUCCCAUCUGUGUGUUUUUGAGUUGUAAUCUUUAUUUGACUUGUUUCUCAUAUUAUUCAUGUUAGGGUAUUUUGGUUGCCUGCUUUUUGAUCCGUACUGAUAUCUGUAGUGCAUUUUUUUUCUCUCUUUUAAAGGUGAACUGGUUGUCUGUCACUCUGCUUUUCAUAACAACAGGUGUUUGAGUCUGCAGAAAGCCCUGAGAAUGUGUGUCUGAAAUACCACCCUCUUCCCUAUAUAAUGCACUACUUUUUUUUUUUUACGGCGCCACAGGAGUCCCCCCUGGCACUGACCUCGACCCCAAGUUUUUUGGGUGCAUCAAAAGUAGUGCCCGGUAUAGGGAAUAGGGCCCAAUAAUGCUGUGGUAUCUGAGGGCUGGUUCAGACCGUGAACCUCGUAUAACCCACCAUACUGGUUAUUGAUGCUGCGCUUCAUGUAACACCCUGGACCAGAGCUAGUCUCCGCUGAGCUGCCUUGGUCGUGGUCUUCAUCAUACUCCUAUUUCUGUGGAUCGACUCUCUCUGUCAUUUAAAACAUUUUCAUUUGUGAACAGGAAGAAAGCAGGAUGACUGUAAAACCUUCUGUGUCAUCAUGAAAGCUGAUCAUUCUAGAAUGUCUGAAUGUUCUAGGUCUCUGAAUGUUAUAGAACGUCUAAACGUUUCUAGGUCUCCCAAAUGGCACCCUAUUCCCUACAUAGUGCACUACUUUUGAUCAGAGCCUACGGUCCCUGUAUAGGGAAUAGGGUUGCAUUUGGGACGCUUCCACAGUCAUGCCUUAACUCAGGCAGCAUAGUUCAGCCAUGAUGACAGACUUUUCUUUUCAAUUGUGAUUAACAUUUUACUUUUACAUUAUCAACUGUUUUUUAUACUGAAGAGUCACAAACAACAGAAACAAACAGGACCAAAGUUGAUGUGCCUUUCAUUGAUCUGUUUUUCAUGCCCUAGUUCCCUCAUCCAUCACUAUUGUUUAAAUUAAAGACUGUCAUCCCCUGGUUCCCUCAUCCAUCACUAUUGUUUAAAUUAAAGACUGUCAUCCCCUGGUUCCCUCAUCCAUCACUAUUGUUUAAAUUAAAGACUGUCAUCCCCUGGUUCCCUCAUCCAUCACUAUUGUUUAAAUUAAAGACUGUCAUCCCCUGGUUCCCUCAUCCAUCACUAUUGUUUAAAUUAAAGACUGUCAUCCCUUGGUUCCCUCAUCCAUCACUAUUGUUUAAAUUAAAGAC
Long non-coding RNA from Oncorhynchus tshawytscha (Chinook salmon), 5143 nucleotides. NCBI's taxonomy places the organism in Eukaryota, Metazoa, Chordata, Actinopteri, Salmoniformes, Salmonidae. The record is from Ensembl.